This 2486-nucleotide ribosomal RNA is filed under the name metagenome. Its description in RNAcentral is "bacterial LSU rRNA". It matches the Rfam family "Bacterial large subunit ribosomal RNA", at positions 14 to 2523 of the family's 2925-position model. The record is from RNAcentral.
AGCGUACACGGUGGAUGCCCUGGCAGUCAGAGGCGAUGAAGGACGUGCUAAUCUGCGAUAAGCGUCGGUAAGGUGAUAUGAACCGUUAUAACCGGCGAUUUCCGAAUGGGGAAACCCAGUGUGUUUCGACACACUAUCAUUAACUGAAUCCAUAGGUUAAUGAGGCGAACCGGGGGAACUGAAACAUCUAAGUACCCCGAGGAAAAGAAAUCAACCGAGAUUCCCCCAGUAGCGGCGAGCGAACGGGGAGCAGCCCAGAGCCUGAAUCAGUGUGUGUGUUAGUGGAAGCGUCUGGAAAGGCGCGCGAUACAGGGUGACAGCCCCGUACACAAAAAUGCACAUGCUGUGAGCUCGAUGAGUAGGGCGGGACACGUGGUAUCCUGUCUGAAUAUGGGGGGACCAUCCUCCAAGGCUAAAUACUCCUGACUGACCGAUAGUGAACCAGUACCGUGAGGGAAAGGCGAAAAGAACCCCGGCGAGGGGAGUGAAAAAGAACCUGAAACCGUGUACGUACAAGCAGUGGGAGCACGCUUAGGCGUGUGACUGCGUACCUUUUGUAUAAUGGGUCAGCGACUUAUAUUCUGUAGCAAGGUUAACCGAAUAGGGGAGCCGAAGGGAAACCGAGUCUUAACUGGGCGUUAAGUUGCAGGGUAUAGACCCGAAACCCGGUGAUCUAGCCAUGGGCAGGUUGAAGGUUGGGUAACACUAACUGGAGGACCGAACCGACUAAUGUUGAAAAAUUAGCGGAUGACUUGUGGCUGGGGGUGAAAGGCCAAUCAAACCGGGAGAUAGCUGGUUCUCCCCGAAAGCUAUUUAGGUAGCGCCUCGUGAAUUCAUCUCCGGGGGUAGAGCACUGUUUCGGCAAGGGGGUCAUCCCGACUUACCAACCCGAUGCAAACUGCGAAUACCGGAGAAUGUUAUCACGGGAGACACACGGCGGGUGCUAACGUCCGUCGUGAAGAGGGAAACAACCCAGACCGCCAGCUAAGGUCCCAAAGUCAUGGUUAAGUGGGAAACGAUGUGGGAAGGCCCAGACAGCCAGGAUGUUGGCUUAGAAGCAGCCAUCAUUUAAAGAAAGCGUAAUAGCUCACUGGUCGAGUCGGCCUGCGCGGAAGAUGUAACGGGGCUAAACCAUGCACCGAAGCUGCGGCAGCGACGCUUAUGCGUUGUUGGGUAGGGGAGCGUUCUGUAAGCCUGUGAAGGUGUGCUGUGAGGCAUGCUGGAGGUAUCAGAAGUGCGAAUGCUGACAUAAGUAACGAUAAAGCGGGUGAAAAGCCCGCUCGCCGGAAGACCAAGGGUUCCUGUCCAACGUUAAUCGGGGCAGGGUGAGUCGACCCCUAAGGCGAGGCCGAAAGGCGUAGUCGAUGGGAAACAGGUUAAUAUUCCUGUACUUGGUGUUACUGCGAAGGGGGGACGGAGAAGGCUAUGUUGGCCGGGCGACGGUUGUCCCGGUUUAAGCGUGUAGGCUGGUUUUCCAGGCAAAUCCGGAAAAUCAAGGCUGAGGCGUGAUGACGAGGCACUACGGUGCUGAAGCAACAAAUGCCCUGCUUCCAGGAAAAGCCUCUAAGCAUCAGGUAACAUCAAAUCGUACCCCAAACCGACACAGGUGGUCAGGUAGAGAAUACCAAGGCGCUUGAGAGAACUCGGGUGAAGGAACUAGGCAAAAUGGUGCCGUAACUUCGGGAGAAGGCACGCUGAUAUGUAGGUGAAGUCCCUCGCGGAUGGAGCUGAAAUCAGUCGAAGAUACCAGCUGGCUGCAACUGUUUAUUAAAAACACAGCACUGUGCAAACACGAAAGUGGACGUAUACGGUGUGACGCCUGCCCGGUGCCGGAAGGUUAAUUGAUGGGGUUAGCCGCAAGGCGAAGCUCUUGAUCGAAGCCCCGGUAAACGGCGGCCGUAACUAUAACGGUCCUAAGGUAGCGAAAUUCCUUGUCGGGUAAGUUCCGACCUGCACGAAUGGCGUAAUGAUGGCCAGGCUGUCUCCACCCGAGACUCAGUGAAAUUGAACUCGCUGUGAAGAUGCAGUGUACCCGCGGCAAGACGGAAAGACCCCGUGAACCUUUACUAUAGCUUGACACUGAACAUUGAGCCUUGAUGUGUAGGAUAGGUGGGAGGCUUUGAAGUGUGGACGCCAGUCUGCAUGGAGCCGACCUUGAAAUACCACCCUUUAAUGUUUGAUGUUCUAACGUUGACCCGUGAUCCGGGUUGCGGACAGUGUCUGGUGGGUAGUUUGACUGGGGCGGUCUCCUCCUAAAGAGUAACGGAGGAGCACGAAGGUUGGCUAAUCCUGGUCGGACAUCAGGAGGUUAGUGCAAUGGCAUAAGCCAGCUUGACUGCGAGCGUGACGGCGCGAGCAGGUGCGAAAGCAGGUCAUAGUGAUCCGGUGGUUCUGAAUGGAAGGGCCAUCGCUCAACGGAUAAAAGGUACUCCGGGGAUAACAGGCUGAUACCGCCCAAGAGUUCAUAUCGACGGCGGUGUUUGGCA